Molecule: ribosomal RNA, 460 nt
Filed under: uncultured bacterium
Lineage: Bacteria
Description: partial 16S ribosomal RNA
Rfam family: Bacterial small subunit ribosomal RNA
Source: RNAcentral
CCUACGGGAGGCAGCAGUGAGGAAUAUUGGUCAAUGGACGAGAGUCUGAACCAGCCAAGUAGCGUGAAGGAUGACUGCCCUAUGGGUUGUAAACUUCUUUUAUAUGGGAAUAAAACGUUCCACGUGUGGGAUUUUGUAUGUACCAUAUGAAUAAGGAUCGGCUAACUCCGUGCCAGCAGCCGCGGUAAUACGGAGGAUCCGAGCGUUAUCCGGAUUUAUUGGGUUUAAAGGGAGCGUAGGUGGAUUGUUAAGUCAGUUGUGAAAGUUUGCGGCUCAACCGUAAAAUUGCAGUUGAAACUGGCAGUCUUGAGUACAGGAGAGGUGUGCGGAAUGCGUGGUGUAGCGGUGAAAUGCUUAGAUAUCACGAAGAACUCCGAUUGCGAAGGCAGUUCACUGGACUGCAACUGACACUGAGGCUCGAAAGUGUGGGUAUCAAACAGGAUUAGAUACCCUGGUAGUC